CCCUUAGAUGUUCUGGGCCGCACGCGCGCUACACUGAUGCAUUCAACGAGCCUAUCCUUGACCGACAGGUCCGGGUAAUCUUUGAAUCUGCAUCGUGACGGGGAUAGAUUAUUGCAAUUAUUAAUCUUCAACGAGGAAUUCCUAGUAAGCGUAAGUCAUAAGCUUGCGCUGAUUACGUCCCUGCCCUUUGUACACACCGCCCGUCGCUACGACCGACUGUUUCUGUCAAUGAAGCUGUAGGAUUCGGCCCUGGCCGGGGCGCAAGCCCUGGCUACGUGGUUGGAGAUCAUAGUUUAGUUGAUACGAAAUACAGGACGUAAAAGUCGUAACA
This 331-nucleotide ribosomal RNA is filed under the name uncultured eukaryote. RNAcentral describes it as "partial 18S ribosomal RNA". It matches the Rfam family "Eukaryotic small subunit ribosomal RNA", at positions 1470 to 1796 of the family's 1831-position model. The record is from RNAcentral.